GAAUGAACAGGAUCCCGCCAG
This 21-nucleotide unclassified non-coding RNA is filed under the name Mus musculus (house mouse). Its description in RNAcentral is "oocyte_clustered_small_RNA11754". The record is from RNAcentral. Lineage: Eukaryota; Metazoa; Chordata; Mammalia; Rodentia; Muridae.